CCUACGGGAGGCAGCAGUGAGGAAUAUUGGUCAAUGGGCUCGCGCCUGAACCAGCCAAGUAGCGUGAAGGAUGACUGCCCUACGGGUUGUAAACUUCUUUUAUCAAGGAAUAAAGUGAGCCACGUGUGCCCUUUUGUAUGUACUUUAUGAAUAAGGAUCGGCUAACUCCGUGCCAGCAGCCGCGGUAAUACGGAGGAAUCGAGCGUUUUCCGGAUUUAUUGGGUUUAAAGGGAGAGUAGAUGGGUUGUUAAGUUAGUUGUGAAAGUUUGCGGCUCAACCGUAAAAUUGCAAUUGAGACUGGCAGUCUUGAGUACAGGUGAGGUAGGCGGAAUUCGUGGUGUAGCGGUGAAAUGCUUAGAUAUCACGAAGAACUCCGAGUGCGAAGGCAGCUUACUAAACUGCCACUGACAUUGAUGCUCGAAAGUGUGGGUAUCAAACAGGAUUAGAUACCCCAGUAGUC
Molecule: ribosomal RNA, 460 nt
Filed under: uncultured bacterium
Lineage: Bacteria
Description: partial 16S ribosomal RNA
Rfam family: Bacterial small subunit ribosomal RNA
Source: RNAcentral